RNAcentral lists this ribosomal RNA (377 nucleotides) under uncultured Chloroflexota bacterium. Its description in RNAcentral is "bacterial SSU rRNA". It matches the Rfam family "Bacterial small subunit ribosomal RNA", at positions 521 to 896 of the family's 1533-position model. The record is from RNAcentral. Lineage: Bacteria; Bacillati; Chloroflexota.
UAAUACGUAGGGGGCGAGCGUUAUCCGGAUUUACUGGGCGUAAAGAGAGCGUAGGCGGUUCUUCAAGUCGGAUGUAAAAUCUCCCGGCUCAACUGGGAGGGAUCAUUCGAUACUGUUGGGCUAGAGGACAGCAGAGGGAGGUGGAAUUCCCGGUGUAGAGGUGGAAUGCGUAGAUAUCGGGAGGAACACCAGUGGCGAAAGCGGCCUCCUGGGCUGUUUCUGACGCUGAGGCUCGAAGGCAUGGGGAGCAAACAGGAUUAGAUACCCUGGUAGUCCAUGCAGUAAACGAUGGACACUAGGUAUAGGAGGUAUCGACCCCUUCUGUGCCGAAGCUAACGCUUUAAGUGUCCCGCCUGGGAAGUACGGUCGCAAGACUA